GCAGUCGAGCGGAUGAGGGUGCUUGCCCUUGGAUUCAGCGGCGGACGGGUGAGUAAUGCCUAGGAAUCUGCCUGGUAGUGGGGGAUAACGUUCCGAAAGGAACGCUAAUACCGCGUACGUCCUACGGGAGAAAGCAGGGGACCUUCGGGCCUUGCGCUAUCAGAUGAGCCUAGGUCGGAUUAGCUAGUUGGUGAGGUAAUGGCUCACCAAGGCGACGAUCCGUAACUGGUCUGAGAGGAUGAUCAGUCACACUGGAACUGAGACACGGUCCAGACUCCUACGGGAGGCAGCAGUGCGGAAUAUUGGACAAUGGGCGAAAGCCUGAUCCAGCCAUGCCGCGUGUGUGAAGAAGGUCUUCGGAUUGUAAAGCACUUUAAGUUGGGAGGAAGGGCUGUAGGCUAAUAUCCUGCAGUUUUGACGUUACCAACAGAAUAGGCACCGGCUAACUUCGUGCCAGCAGCCGCGGUAAUACGAAGGGUGCAAGCGUUAAUCGGAUUUACUGGGCGUAAAGCGCGCGUAGGUGGUUCGUUAAGUUGGAUGUGAAAGCCCCGGGCUCAACCUGGGAACUGCAUCCAAAACUGGCGAGCUAGAGUACGGUAGAGGGUAGUAGAAUUUCCUGUGUAGCGGUGAAAUGCGUANAUAUAGGAAGGAACACCAGUGGCNAANGGNGACUACCUNNNNUGAUACUGACNCUGNNNGCGAAAGCGUGGGNNGCAAACGGGAUUAGAUACCCUGGNA
This 738-nucleotide ribosomal RNA is filed under the name uncultured bacterium. RNAcentral describes it as "partial 16S ribosomal RNA". It matches the Rfam family "Bacterial small subunit ribosomal RNA", at positions 57 to 792 of the family's 1533-position model. The record is from RNAcentral.